RNAcentral lists this ribosomal RNA (253 nucleotides) under uncultured bacterium. Its description in RNAcentral is "partial 16S ribosomal RNA". It matches the Rfam family "Bacterial small subunit ribosomal RNA", at positions 524 to 776 of the family's 1533-position model. The record is from RNAcentral.
UACGAAGGGGGCGAGCGUUGUUCGGAAUUACUGGGCGUAAAGCGUGCGCAGGCGGUUCUGAAAGUCAGCUGUGAAAGCCCCGGGCUUAACCUGGGAAUUGCGGUUGAAACUACAGGGCUAGAAUCUGGCAGAGGGGGGUGGAAUUCCACGUGUAGCAGUGAAAUGCGUAGAGAUGUGGAGGAACACCGAUGGCGAAGGCAGCCCCCUGGGCUGAGAUUGACGCUCAGGCACGAAAGCGUGGGGAGCAAACAGG